This is a long non-coding RNA of Oncorhynchus keta (chum salmon), 774 nucleotides long. RefSeq lists it as uncharacterized. The record is from RefSeq and is a predicted model, not a curated record. Lineage: Eukaryota; Metazoa; Chordata; Actinopteri; Salmoniformes; Salmonidae. The transcript has 5 exons.
UUCAAUACCACAUAAUGGACAGAGACAGUCUCAGGUAGAGGUCAGUACCACAUGAUAAUGGACAGAGACAGUCUCAGGUAGAGUUCAGUACCACAAGAUAAUGGACAGAGACAGUCUCAGGUAGAGUUCAGUACCACGUGAUAAUGGACAGAGACAGUCUCAGGUAGAGUUCAGUACCACAUGAUAAUGGACAGAGACAGUCUCAGGUAGAGUUCAGUACCACAUGAUAAUGGACAGAGACAGUCUCAGGUAGAGUUCAGUACCAUGUGAUAAUGGACAGAGACAGUCUGAAGUAGAGUUCAGUACCACAUGAUAAUGGACAGAGACAGUCUCAGGUAGAGUUCAGUACCACAUGAUAAUGGACAGAGACAGUCUCAGGUAGAGUUCAGAACCACGUGAUAAUGGACAGAGACAGUCUCAGGUAGAGUUCAGUACCACAUGAUAAUGGACAGAGACAGUCUCAGGUAGAGUUCAGAACCACGUGAUAAUGGACAGAGACAGUCUCAGGUAGAGUUCAGUACCACGUGAUAAUGGACAGAGACAGUCUCAGGUAGAGUUCAGUACCACAUGAUAAUGGACAGAGACAGUCUCAGGUAGAGUUCAGUACCACAUGAUAAUGGACAGAGACAGUCUCAGGUAGAGUUCAGUACCACAUGAUAAUGGACAGAGACAGUCUCAGGUAGAGUUCAGAACCACGUGAUAAUGGACAGAGACAGUCUCAGGUAGAGUUCAGUACCACGUGAUAAUGGACAGAGACAGUCUCAGGUAGAGUUC